AAGGUUGUGACUCACCUGGGAAAUACGCUAGGAGCCUCCGUUCAACACGUUAAACUGAAGCAAAUGAAGUAUUCUUUUCAGUUAUGGGUCACAAUGAUGUCAGCAAGAGCAUAUGAUGGGAAGGAACCUCUGAAAUUUGUGGAUCUGCUUAGUGACCGUGGGAAGCCUAUCAACCCUCUGUGGGAAUUGGUCAAAUGGUGCCUGGGCCUAUCAGUGCACACCAUCCCUGCCAUUGGACUGGCCUUAUUGGAAGAAA
Long non-coding RNA from Phyllostomus hastatus (greater spear-nosed bat), 256 nucleotides. RefSeq lists it as uncharacterized. The record is from RefSeq and is a predicted model, not a curated record. The transcript is spliced from 3 exons. Lineage: Eukaryota; Metazoa; Chordata; Mammalia; Chiroptera; Phyllostomidae.